AUCACAAAGCUGUCCUUGUUUGAAGACACUUGGGAAUUUCAGGUGUUGCCGUAAGUCUACUGAGCUCUCUGGGUGUCUAACCUUGCCUUCUUGUCAUCAGCUAUUAAAACUACUAAAACAGAAGAAUGCUUAACCACUACAGCUGUUAAAACAUUAGUACGUGCUUUGAUGCUGGAAGAAGACUUUUCAUGCUAUUCUUAGAGACAGGGUCUCACUCUGUCACCCAGGCUGGAGAGCAGGGACGCAAUCAGAACUCACUGCAGCCUCCAACUCCUGGGCUCAAGCAAUCCUCCCACCUCCACCUCCUGAGUAACUGGAACUACAGGUGUAUUAAGCAGGCAAUUAAGAAGUGGAAUCUACAGCUGGGAUUCUUCAGCAAGGAACUUGCACUUCGGGUUUCAGGAUCGAGAACAUCCUGGAAAUAAGAGCGGAAGCAGAAAAGCCAGCAGAGCAGGCCAUCACAAUAGACGUGGCGUGAGAUGUCAUGGAACUGGAGCAGUUAAACCUCAUUCUCCAGGGUACUGGUGCUACUGCCAAGAGCGGAAAACUUUCAUCUUCCAAAACCUCAAUCAGCCAGUUUCUCAUCUGCAUCCCAUAAAUCAUCAAGAAAGAACAAGCUCAUUAUCUCAGCACCAGGGACAAAAGUCUUUUACAUGACACUGAACUUCUGACUACUGCAAAACAUGGCAGCUUGCCAUCAUAUGUUUAACAGGUGUGUUGGUCCCUUUAACAGACUGGGCCAGAAGUUUGAGGAUAUGGUCUGAAAUUUCAAUUUUGUUACGUGUUGUGACUUGCACUGGGCCCAAAUCCAGAGGUAAUUGGGCCUAGUGGUCUGAAGAGUUACUUGGGUGUUCUGUAAUUUUAGUAGAUUUGGAGAAAGAGAGGUGGGGAUGUCUGUCCCUGAAGAUAUUUUCUCAUAGAAGCAAGGAAUUACAGGAACUUCUCUGUUGUGUUUUGGGUAAGUGUUUCCAUGCUGCUACUCUGAAUAAUAGGGUAGAUAUUUCCAGGUACAGGCUGUUAAAAUUUGCUAUAUUACCUCCAUUCUGUAUGUAGUUCCUUCUCUACAUAACAGUGUUGGUUAGGUAGUGGAACCUUCUAAAUGACGCACUAUGUGAUUCCUGUGUCAUAUAGAAUGUUCUAUGAUUCUUAGCCAGAUAAUCAUAUUCCCAGAAAAGGCCUCUCAACUUUCACCUGCCUUUCUAAGGACUGAAAUACUCUGAGUGUUGCAUAAAGGGUGUUCCAAAUAUGGGCAUUCACCUGUUUCCUGAUUAAAAAAAGAUAAUUUGGUAUGAAUAAAAAAAAAGGGACGCUUUGUAAUGGGUUUGGUAAAUCUUUCCUGUAACAGGUUAGAUAAUAAAUAUUUUAGGCUUUUGGGAUAUGUAAUCUUUAUUUUAACUACUCAAAUGGGCAGCAAAGCAAAAGCAGUAUGUAAAUGAAUGAGUAUUGCUGUGUUCCAAUAAACUUUAUGGAC
Molecule: long non-coding RNA, 1471 nt
Organism: Homo sapiens (human)
Lineage: Eukaryota; Metazoa; Chordata; Mammalia; Primates; Hominidae
Source: Ensembl